UCUGCAUGUCUAAGUAUAAGCAAUUAUACAGCGAAACUGCGAAUGGCUCAUUAUAUAAGUUAUCGUUUAUUUGAUAGUACCUUACUACUUGGAUAACCGUGGUAAUUCUAGAGCUAAUACAUGCUGAAAAUCCUGACUUCGGAAGGGAUGUAUUUAUUAGAUUAAAAACCAAUGCCCUCUGGGCUCCUUGGUGAUUCAUAAUAACUUUUCGAAUCGCACGGCCUUGCGCCGGCGAUGGUUCAUUCAAAUUUCUUCCCUAUCAACUUUCGAUGUUUGGGUAUUGGCCAAACAUGGUCGCAACGGGUAACGGAGGGUUAGGGCUCGACCCCGGAGAAGGAGCCUGAGAAACGGCUACUACAUCCAAGGAAGGCAGCAGGCGCGCAAAUUACCCAAUCCCGAUUCGGGGAGGUAGUGACAAUAAAUACUGAUACAGGGCUCUUUUGGGUCUUGUAAUUGGAAUGAGUACAAUUUAAAUCUCUUAACGAGGAACAAUUGGAGGGCAAGUCUGGUGCCAGCAGCCGCGGUAAUUCCAGCUCCAAUAGCGUAUAUUAAAGUUGUUGUGGUUAAAAAGCUCGUAGUUGAACCUUGGGCCUGGCUGGCCGGUCCGCCUCACCGCGUGUACUGGUCCGGCCGGGCCUUUCCCUCUGUGGAACCUCAUGCCCUUCACUGGGUGUGGCGGGGAAACAGGACUUUUACUUUGAAAAAAUUAGAGUGCUCCAGGCAGGCCUAUGCUCGAAUACAUUAGCAUGGAAUAAUAAAAUAGGACGUGUGGUUCUAUUUUGUUGGUUUCUAGGACCGCCGUAAUGAUUAAUAGGGACAGUCGGGGGCAUCAGUAUUCAAUUGUCAGAGGUGAAAUUCUUAGAUUUAUUGAAGACUAACUACUGCGAAAGCAUUUGCCAAGGAUGUUUUCAUUAAUCAGGAACGAAAGUUAGGGGAUCGAAGACGAUCAGAUACCGUCGUAGUCUUAACCAUAAACUAUGCCGACUAGGGAUCGGACGAUGUUAUUUUUUGACGCGUUCGGCACCUUACGAGAAAUCAAAGUGCUUGGGCUCCAGGGGGAGUAUGGUCGCAAGGCUGAAACUUAAAGGAAAUUGACGGAAGG
This 1102-nucleotide ribosomal RNA is filed under the name Beauveria brongniartii. RNAcentral's name for it is "SSU rRNA". It matches the Rfam family "Eukaryotic small subunit ribosomal RNA", at positions 50 to 1163 of the family's 1831-position model. Lineage: Eukaryota; Fungi; Ascomycota; Sordariomycetes; Hypocreales; Cordycipitaceae. The record is from RNAcentral.